ACGUGGAAAUUCUUGUUCACAAUGUAGACUUUUCAAAGAACAACAGCUAGCUUGAGUCAAUGCAUGGCCUUCUAUGUUAUAGUCUUUGCUCAGAAUAAUGGGUCUAAAUUUUACAUAUUGGCUAAUUAAGAGCUCUAAGAACAGAAAGCAAUGGACAUCUUUGCUUCUGUGCUUUUGAGUUCCAGUUUGCUUCUCUUCUACUUUGUAUUCUCGGAUGCUGCUAAUAACAGCAUUUCUCAAUCCCAAUCCCUCAGGGACAUUGAGAACGCAACCUUGGUCUCUAAAGAUGGAGGCUUUGUCCUGGGGUUCUUCAGUCCAGGUAAUUCCAAUAACCGUUACUUGGGAAUUUGGUACAACAAUAUCCCAGGUAAAACGGUUGUUUGGGUAGCAAACCGGGGCAAUCCAAUCACAGACUCGUCUGGCAUGUUGAUGGUAAACAGUUCAGGUAGUCUUGUUCUUCUUGGCCAGUAUUCGACGUUUGCUUGGUCGGCAAAUCAAACAAAAGUGGCCAAGAAUCCAAUAGUACAGCUCUUAGAUUCAGGAAAUCUAGUAUUAGGAGAAGAGAAUGAAGACAAUUAUUUUUGGCAAAGCUUUGACUAUCCUUCUGAUACGUGGCUAGCAGGGAUGAAGCUUGGAUGGGACCGAAGGAUUGGGCUGGAUAGGCGCCUAACUGCAUGGAAGAGUCCAGAUGAUCCCUCUCCAGGAGAACUGAGUUGGGGGAUUGAACUUCAUAAUUACCCAGAAUUAGUCAUGAUGAAAGGCUCCCAGAAGUGCUUCCGGUCCGGCCCAUGGAAUGGCCAUUUUUUCAGUGGUAUGCCAGAGUUACAGGCCACCCCGCUUUACAACUUCACUUUUGCCUCCAACAAAGAUGAGGUUUACUUCACGUUCGAUAUGAUUCAAAAGUCUGCAAUCACAAGAGCAGUUUUGAACCAGUCACAGUAUGAGCGCUACAUGUGGGUUAAAGAAAAAAACGAAUGGAGUAUGUUCUUGAAUUUGCCAAAAGACAAAUGCGACACUUACGAUUUAUGUGGUCCUUAUGGAAAUUGUAUCAUGGGUGAGUCACCUGUUUGUCAGUGUGUAGAAGGAUUCAAGCCUAAAUCAUCACAACAAACAUGGAACCCAGAAGAGUGGUAUAAGGGAUGUGAACGCAGUACGCAAUUGAGCUGCCAGGAUAAAGAUAAAAUUGAGUUUGUUAUAUUGUCUGGGCUCAAAAUGCCAGACACCACACAUUCUCUGUUGAACGAAAGUAUGAGUCUUAAUGAAUGCAAGGUCAAAUGUUUGAACGACUGUAACUGUACAGCUUAUUCAAACUCAGAUACUAGAAAUGGAGGUAGUGGAUGCGCCAUGUGGUUUGGGGAUCUAAUUGAUAUAAGACAGAUGGCAGCGAACAAGCAGGAUGCUAAUAGCCAGGAUGUAUAUAUUCGAAUGCCUGGUUCAGGGCAAGUGCUGAAAAAUAAGCAAAAGAGGAAGGUGAUUGUAAUAGUCGUGGUUGCCAUUGCCGUAGUUUUUGGGGUGCUCUUGAUUCCCUACUGCAUUUGGAAAAGGAAAAGCUUGAGAGAUAACAUGGAGAACAAUGAGAUACUAGACCAGAACAUUGAACUCCAAAGUGAAGACUUAGAGGUCCCAUUCUUCAGCCUAGCAACCAUAGUCACUGCCACUAACAACUUUUCAAGUGAUAACAAGCUAGGUGAAGGAGGCUUUGGACUUGUAUACAAGGGUAUACUAACAGAUGGACAUGAAAUUGCUGUGAAAAGGCUUUCACGAAGUUCUAUACAAGGAUUGAAUGAGUUUAAAAAUGAAGUUAUGUUGAUUGCCAAAUUGCAACACCGUAAUCUGGUUAGGCUUUUGGGCUAUUGCAUUGAAGGAGAGGAGAUAAUGCUAAUUUAUGAAUAUAUGCCCAACGGAAGCUUAGACUCCUUUAUUUUUGAUAAAACGAGAGCUAAUGUUUUAGAUUGGUCUAUGCGCUUCAAUAUUAUUUGUGGGAUUGCACGAGGGCUUCUAUAUCUUCAUGAGGAUUCUAGAUUGAGAAUUAUACAUAGAGAUCUCAAGGCAAGUAAUGUAUUACUUGAUAGUAAGAUGAGCCCAAAAAUUUCUGACUUUGGCAUGGCUAGAAUCUUUGGGGGAGAACAAACUGAAGGAAAUACAGAUAGAGUGGUUGGAACUUAUGGGUAUAUGGCACCUGAAUAUGCCAUUGAUGGUCUAUUUUCAGUGAAAUCUGAUGUAUAUAGUUUUGGAAUAUUGUUGCUGGAGAUAUUAAGUGGAAAGAAAAAUCGAAGGUCUUUCCAUCCAAGCCAAGGUCUAAACCUUGUUGCACAUGCAUGGAAUUUAUGGAAAGAUAGCAAACCUUUAGAACUAAUUGAUACUUGCUUAAAGGACAGUUGCAUCCUAUUGGAGUUUGUUCGUUGCCUUCAUAUAAGUUUCUUAUGUUUGCAACAAUAUCAUGAGGAUCGGCCUAACAUGUCAUCUGUGGUUAUGAUGUUGCAUGGAGAAAGUUCAUUACCUGAACCUAAAGAUCCUACUUCCUUGGUAGGGAAAAAAUUCUCUUCAUCAAGCAAGAACUCAUCACAUUCAACCAAUGAAAUUACUAUUACACUGUUAAAGGCUCGAUAGCUAAACUCCAUAUCCAUUACAUUAUACUAAGUGUUACGUCCACAAUACUUUCACAAAACUUUUAUAACAAAUUUUAAGUGGUAGGUUGUUACUGGUAGACAAGAAAGUAAUUUCAGUGGUGGUUUUAAAUUAAAACCAAUAACGACUUGUCAUCUAGGAUUUGUUGUGAAAGUGUUGUGGAUAUAGAAUUUAUCUAUUAUAUAUCUCCUAAUUGAUAUUUAUAUUGUACAUUUUGUAAGUUAAACACAUUUGUAUUCCCAAGAAGGUGGCAUGAUAUGAAUCUUAUUUGAAUGGUAAA
RNA transcript from Quercus robur (English oak), 2908 nucleotides. It is a transcript of the gene named G-type lectin S-receptor-like serine/threonine-protein kinase At4g27290, with no coding region annotated. Lineage: Eukaryota; Viridiplantae; Streptophyta; Magnoliopsida; Fagales; Fagaceae. The transcript is spliced from 8 exons. The record is from RefSeq and is a predicted model, not a curated record.